UAAUUAAAAUAUACUACUUCACAUAUAUAUGCUUCAAAUAUGUUUUACAUAAAGUUUGAUACCGUUAAGACUAGUGGCCUUGCCACGUAGAUAAAACUUAAAAUAAAAGUACAUGAAGAAAAUCAAAAGAAAGCUUAACAGAAGGACCCCCUAAGUCCAACAUGACUGACACUUAUACUGACUGUAUAUAAUAUUACGUACUAGUAACGAUGUGAUAAGCGUUUGACAAAACGCUAGCAACCUUCAGCCUUGACAUUAUCGUAAUCUGUCACUCCAUAGCCUUCCCUCCUAAAGGGUCUAGCUCGUCGCCUGAUCGUCAUAGAUCAAUCCAAAGAUGCAAGACAAAAAGAAUACAGGGCUAAGAUUUACGUACAAGUUUAAAAGUGGGAAUAGGAUGUAAAAUAGUAAUAUAUAUACAUGACAACCACAAUUAUUCGAACAAGCGCAUCUUUAUCCCAUAUUUACCUAUACUCUAUAAGUAUUUAUUCUAAUGCAUCCUUGAACUAUAUGCUGACUCAGGCCACUAAACGCUGUCAAGGAUACCUAUCCCAUUUACCAAGAUCAGAUAUCACAAGACCACAUGCCACCAACGUACUCCCAAUUACCAAGAGCUACGCCACCUAACUUCACAUGGAGUCCAGGUGUUAUAAGUCGAUCGUCCCCGAGGAUUCAGGCCAAGACCCUCGUCUUGCCUAGCAUGCAUAAAUAAUAAUCCCCGUCGGGAUUGUAGGCGACUGAUCAACCUCGUACGUCCCAUACCGCACGGCAGUGGACUUAUACAUUCCUCAAUGCAGGUCUAUAUGAUCACUCAAUCAUUUUGUAGCAACGCUCAACUAUAAGUAUUUAGUUAAUAUUUGGGAAAUAUCGUAUUAACCUUUCAGGUCAUAGUUAUUAUCUCAUUACUUCAGUUGAGUGCCAAAUCCAUUAAAUGUCUUGUCUAUUUCUCCUUGGUGUGAUCCUUGUCUCUAUAUAACUAGUUCAGUUUAUACAGUGAAUAAUGUAUGGUUGACUUCCCAGGUAAGAGAGGUGGACCGUAAAGGACAUGGUCGACCAAGUCUUAUCCUUAGCCAGAAUCCAACCGAAUACAACUACCCAAUGUAUCCAACUUCCCUUAUUUCAUUGGGGAUCUAACACUUAAUAUCUAAUCAAUGUUGUUGUUUCUCUCCUUAAUAGAUCAUUUUCUUAGUCUAUCAAUCACAAUCAUUCAAGUAUAAAUAAAAUAAACAAUUAGACAAUUAAUCAAACAAUGUAAGCACAAUACAACCUCAAAUUGUCAUAGAUCAUUCUUAUGAUAAAUAAUUAAGGUCGGCAUAACCUCGCUUAGUGAUUUGGGAAAAUCAUUAUUCGAGAAUAGGCUCUCCUUACUUAUUUAUCGCUGGUAGGGCUUGGGUCACCACUACCCACAUAUAUAUAUUAAGCUAUUUUACGCUAACCGUCCCAACGUAUACGAGACCUUGCCCCCACCUUUUGUUGUUGAUCGUUGUUGAAAGUCCACGAGCGUUUUCUCUGAUGUUUGCCCAGAACCUAAUUUACGAUAACCGUUGAAUUGUACGAAAUUUAUAAAAUAAUUAGAAUAUAAUUUACGGUUAAAUAAACAUAAUCCCGUUACAAAUUAAGAUAUUUAUUUAUUUAAAAUAUUUAAUCAUAACCUCCACUAUAUUUAAAUCGUUAUUAAACUCAAGUAUAAAUUAGACUAUACUCCUGUUUGGAUUUGUUUAUUUUAGAAAAUUAUCAAGAGUGUAUUCCUAAUAACAUUUUAAUUUUAUAAUAAUACUUGGGCAUUAUAACAACUUAAAAUGGUAGAACUAUCUUGGACUUUAUAAGUUCAAUAUCUCAAUGUCUUAACGGAAAUUUAAAUCAACAUCUUAAAAUAACCUUUAUAUAAAUAAAAUAAUUAAUAAUUAAAUUAUAACGACUUACCGGUUACUUAUGAAAAUGAUUUGAGCAGAACUUUGACGUAUCAAACUCCUUAAAACUUUAGA
Molecule: long non-coding RNA, 1982 nt
Filed under: Lathyrus oleraceus (garden pea)
Lineage: Eukaryota; Viridiplantae; Streptophyta; Magnoliopsida; Fabales; Fabaceae
Description: Pisum sativum (pea) long non-coding RNA (PSAT_LNC019506)
Source: RNAcentral